Molecule: long non-coding RNA, 1184 nt
Organism: Numida meleagris (helmeted guineafowl)
Lineage: Eukaryota; Metazoa; Chordata; Aves; Galliformes; Numididae
Exons: 4
Source: RefSeq, a predicted model, not a curated record
AUCCUCGCAACCGCCUAUUACAACAUAUGACUAUUACCAAUAUUGAAAUCACAGAUUAGUCUGAGCUAAAUGUUAAAUGUCUGUGUUCUGCAGAAGAAAAAGUGCAAGGAGGAAAUGAAAAGUAACUGUCAAUACCCUGUGUUCAUUAUAUGGAAGCACACAGACACCCUAAGCACACCCUCCUGGAGAAGAAGGAAUUCACACUUCUAAUAUCCCUUGGAUGCAGAAGAAUUUGAAGUACAAAAAGGAAGAAGGAAAAAAACUUGGUUAAAAAUGCCUAUUUCUACCCAGUUCAGAACAGUGGAAAUCAGCUAACUUAACUAAAUCUGAAUGACUGAAGAAAAACAGAUUGAUUUCCAGGACACAAUUCAUUUGACUUAUAUUAAUAUCUUCUCAGAAUGAUACUGCGUUAAAUUUAGGAAGUUAUUGACACAUAGGACUUUAAGAAAGCUUCAUGCUGGAGCGCCCGGAAGACUAGAAGUCAGAAAAGUUCAGUUCAGUUUCUUCACUGUGAUGACCAGAUUAAAGGAUGUAUCUUCACAAGAAAGAUACUUAAGAAAAAUACCUUUAGCAAUGAUCCUAGACAAAGUGACUAGAUGUAAAGGUCACGACAGGAUUUACUUUCAAUUUGUUCACUGUUGUUUGGCUUUUGUAAGUCAAUACAGUACACAAAAUGCAAUGACAAUUGUUUGGUCAGCUUUGGACUAGCUAUUAGUGUAAGAAAAAUGAAGCAUAUUUGUCAUUUUUGGGCAAAGAAUGUACAUGUACUCUACUGAUACAAAGCCUACCUUAACAGACUGCUUGACAGAAAUGAACUUUUGUUUUUUCCUGAAUUGAAUAUCAUUGCCUUGGAGACAAGAAAUGAACAUGAACAUUGUGUGAAUCACGUUCUCUUUCUGACUGAAGGUAUACAAAACAGAAGAAUAUCAACAAUUGAACUAUAACAGACAGGGACAAACUAAAAAGGCACAUAGGAUAUUCUUCCAGACAUAUAUUUUUACCUGUCUCUAAUUUAAACUAACCAACAAAAUAAUGUGGAGAUAAUGCACACAUAAACACAUACAGUGUUCCUGUUCAAAAAGACAUUUUCAAAUGGCUAUAAAUUUUGUUUAUAGGGAUGAGAAAUAACUUUAAACUACUCCUAACUAAGAACAGUGUGGAAUAAACUAUAAUCACUUAUGAAA